This 379-nucleotide unclassified non-coding RNA is filed under the name uncultured Rickettsiales bacterium. RNAcentral describes it as "contains 16S-23S intergenic spacer region". The record is from RNAcentral. Lineage: Bacteria; Pseudomonadati; Pseudomonadota; Alphaproteobacteria; Rickettsiales.
UCCGGCUUGUCACCGGCAGUUUCUUUAGAGUCCCCAGCAUGACCUGAUGGUAACUAAAGAUGAGGGUUGCGCUCGUUGCGGGACUUAACCCAACAUCUCACGACACGAGCUGACGACAGCCAUGCAGCACCUGUCUCUACCCCAGCCGAACUGAGACCUCUCAUUACAAAAGGGUUUAGGUAGGAUGUCAAGAGCUGGUAAGGUUUUUCGCGUAGCCUCGAAUUAAACCACAUGCUCCACCGCUUGUGCGGGUCCCCGUCAAUUCCUUUGAGUUUUAAUCUUGCGACCGUACUCCCCAGGCGGGGUGCUUAACGCGUUAGCUGCGAUACCGAAACUAAUGUCCCGACAUCUAGCACCCAUCGUUUAGGGCGUGGACUAC